This 204-nucleotide long non-coding RNA is filed under the name Capsicum annuum. RNAcentral's name for it is "long non-coding RNA (CANN_LNC020288)". The record is from RNAcentral. Lineage: Eukaryota; Viridiplantae; Streptophyta; Magnoliopsida; Solanales; Solanaceae.
UUUAAUUCCCUCUUAGAGAUCUGCAAGGGAUCAUCAGAAGUGGUGGGAUUUGGAUCACAAUUUGAGAUCAUCAUGUUCGCUAGAUUAACUGACUGUAUAUUAAUCUCUUAUUGUUGUUUUUAUUAUUUUGUAUCAUAAUUUUGGGCUAUUCUCCAAAUAGAAGAAAUAUCUAUCGUGUCCAUAUGAGUUUGGUGGUGUUAGGCC